RNAcentral lists this long non-coding RNA (545 nucleotides) under Suricata suricatta (meerkat). RNAcentral's name for it is "lncRNA (ENSSSUG00005003755.1)". Lineage: Eukaryota; Metazoa; Chordata; Mammalia; Carnivora; Herpestidae. The record is from RNAcentral.
UGCAUUUGGGGAGGAGAGAGGAAGGGGGAUGGGCAUGUCCUCAGUCUCUCCUGGGCCUUCCUGAAAGUGCUCCUAGCCUGUGCCCUGGGUGGGCACUGAAGUCACAGUGAAGUCACAGUGAAGUCAGACUCCUAUCAUAGUGAAGUGAAGUCUGACUUCGCUGACUUCCUGUGUUUGGGGGUUGGUGUGUGUUAGCGCUUUGGGUUGGCAGACAAGCUUCCUCCAGUUUUCAGGGUUACAGUUACACAGAGGACUAUGGAUGGAAAGUUGCCUCUCAAGAGAUACCAACUGGCCAGUUUCCAAAGUUUAGGGAAACCAAGGACAGUCUUCACAUUGUUUCUCCACUGAUAUUCACCAUGCAGAAGCAGACCUGGAAAAGGAGUUUGGGGUAUCAAGGAUCACCACCCAUGAAGGGAAAAGGGAGGAAGAAGAUUAAGGAGAGGAAGAAUACAGACCCCCCCCAAAAGCCUUGGCCACUCUGUAAGGGAAUUCUAGAAUAUGUGUUGCCCAUUAGUGUCCCCUGUCAAGCAGAAAUGGCCAGGACU